RNAcentral lists this ribosomal RNA (496 nucleotides) under uncultured bacterium. RNAcentral describes it as "partial 16S ribosomal RNA". It matches the Rfam family "Bacterial small subunit ribosomal RNA", at positions 28 to 506 of the family's 1533-position model. The record is from RNAcentral.
GAUGAACGCUGGCGGCGUGCCUAAUACAUGCAAGUCGAGCGAACAGACGAGGAGCUUGCUCCUCUGACGUUAGCGGCGGACGGGUGAGUAACACGUGGAUAACCUACCUAUAAGACUGGGAUAACUUCGGGAAACCGGAGCUAAUACCGGAUAAUAUAUUGAACCGCAUGGUUCAAUAGUGAAAGACGGUUUUGCUGUCACUUAUAGAUGGAUCCGCGCCGCAUUAGCUAGUUGGUAAGGUAACGGCUUACCAAGGCGACGAUGCGUAGCCGACCUGAGAGGGUGAUCGGCCACACUGGAACUGAGACACGGUCCAGACUCCUACGGGAGGCAGCAGUAGGGAAUCUGCCGCAAUGGGCGAAAGCCUGACGGAGCAACGCCGCGUGAGUGAUGAAGGUCUGCGGAUCGUAAAACUCUGUUAUGAGGGAAGAACAAAUGUGUAAGUAACUAUGCACGUCUUGACGGUACCUAAGCAGAAAGCCACGGCUAACUACGU